CCUGGGUUGGCUGACUGGUAAAGCACGCGACUCAUAAUCGCCGAUAUGUGGGUUCGAUUCCCACACCCAGGA
Molecule: transfer RNA, 72 nt
Filed under: Cyanobacteria bacterium UBA8156
Lineage: Bacteria; Bacillati; Cyanobacteriota
Also listed under: 2 other names
Description: tRNA-Met
Rfam family: tRNA
About the family: Transfer RNA (tRNA) molecules are approximately 80 nucleotides in length.
Source: RNAcentral